This 92-nucleotide transfer RNA is filed under the name Arthrobacter mangrovi. RNAcentral's name for it is "tRNA-Arg". Lineage: Bacteria; Bacillati; Actinomycetota; Actinomycetes; Micrococcales; Micrococcaceae. The record is from RNAcentral.
ACGGCCUGGGCCGGGUCGCGGUAGGCCGGCUGUUCCUCCCAGCGGCCGUAGGAGUUCGGGUUGAUGCCCGGGGUCCCGCCCUGGUUGCCGUC